AGUGAACGCUGGCGGUAGGCCUAACACAUGCAAGUCGAACGGCAGCACAGUAAGAGCUUGCUCUUACGGGUGGCGAGUGGCGGACGGGUGAGGAAUACAUCGGAAUCUACUUUUUCGUGGGGGAUAACGUAGGGAAACUUACGCUAAUACCGCAUACGACCUACGGGUGAAAGCAGGGGAUCUUCGGACCUUGCGCGAUUGAAUGAGCCGAUGUCGGAUUAGCUAGUUGGCGGGGUAAAGGCCCACCAAGGCGACGAUCCGUAGCUGGUCUGAGAGGAUGAUCAGCCACACUGGAACUGAGACACGGUCCAGACUCCUACGGGAGGCAGCAGUGGGGAAUAUUGGACAAUGGGCGCAAGCCUGAUCCAGCCAUACCGCGUGGGUGAAGAAGGCCUUCGGGUUGUAAAGCCCUCUUGUUGGGAAAGAAAAGCAGCAGGUUAAUACCCCGCUGUCCUGACGGUACCCAAAGAAUAAGCACCGGCUAACUUCGUG
RNAcentral lists this ribosomal RNA (492 nucleotides) under uncultured bacterium. RNAcentral describes it as "partial 16S ribosomal RNA". It matches the Rfam family "Bacterial small subunit ribosomal RNA", at positions 29 to 507 of the family's 1533-position model. The record is from RNAcentral.